CUUUGAGUAAAUCAAUCUGUUGAUCAAGCAGCAAAAUACUCUGCACAAACAAGCUAAGGGCUAGUUAGUUGAGUAAAUCAAGAAAAGAUGAGUUCCAACCAGUACUGGCAAUCAAUUAGUAAUUCGGAUGACGAAUACCUGGAUCAUAUUAAAAGAAUGGAGAAAUCUCCAACAAUGCACCCUGAUAUCCCUCUCUACCCCAAUGUCUCCUCUCUUUUCAAAAACAAAUUGAAUAACAAAGGACUAGUGAAUCGUCAGAAGAACCAAGCCGCGGAGUCACAGAAGAAGGUUCAGUUUGCGGACUCAAACAAGAAUGGUAAGGAGAAGCCCACAGGUUUUAUGCUUCACAAAUGGAGGACUUACAAAGUUUCAGCUUGAAGGGUUUCAAUCUUAUUAGCACCCACUUUUCAUCAAUAAUCUUGCUUUCCAAAUGAAGAAUUUCAUGUUUGUUGUAUCCAUAGUGUUGAUCAGUACAUUUGUACGUUUGAUUUGGUCUAAUCUCAUAGAAAAUAUAGUAUUGUGUCUAAACUUAUCUUUUCUGAUCUAAAGGCUUUGUA
RNAcentral lists this unclassified non-coding RNA (557 nucleotides) under Hevea brasiliensis (rubber tree). The record is from RNAcentral. Lineage: Eukaryota; Viridiplantae; Streptophyta; Magnoliopsida; Malpighiales; Euphorbiaceae.